This 346-nucleotide unclassified non-coding RNA is filed under the name uncultured fungus. RNAcentral describes it as "partial contains small subunit ribosomal RNA, internal transcribed spacer 1, and 5.8S ribosomal RNA". The stretch from base 1 to 73 matches the Rfam family "Eukaryotic small subunit ribosomal RNA", at positions 1759 to 1831 of the family's 1831-position model. Lineage: Eukaryota; Fungi. The record is from RNAcentral.
GCAAACUUGGUCAUUUAGAGGAAGUAAAAGUCGUAACAAGGUUUCCGUAGGUGAACCUGCGGAAGGAUCAUUAUUGAAUAUUUGAAGUAGUUGAGCUGGUCUCGACUGAGACAAGUGCUUGCUGCUUCUGUUCAUUUCGUCCACCUGUGCACUUACUGUAGGGCUUUUUGAGGAAGGGAAUUCCUGGCUUUGACUCCAGGAGUUCUUAGUAUUCAAGUUCUAUGUAUUUUACACACUCAAUGAAUGUUUCUGAAUGUCUUUUUAUUGGGACUUGACUGACCCUUUAAAACUUUAUACAACUUUCAGCAACGGAUCUCUUGGCUCUCGCAUCGAUGAAGAACGCAGC